CCUACGGGAGGCAGCAGUGGGGGAUAUUGCACAAUGGGGGAAACCCUGAUGCAGCGACGCCGCGUGAGUGAAGAAGUAUUUCGGUAUGUAAAGCUCUAUCAGCAGGGAAGAAAAAAGACGGUACCUGACUAAGAAGCCCCGGCUAACUCCGUGCCAGCAGCCGCGGUAAUAUGGAGGGCGCCAGCGUUACUCGGAUGUACUGGGUGUAAAGGGAGCGUAGGCGGACUUACAAGUCAGCAGUGAAAUACUCUGGUUCAACCUGGGAACUGCUUGUGAAACUGUAAGGCGUGAGUGCUGGAGGGGAGAGGAGAAUUCAAGGUGGAGCGGGGAAAUGUGGAGAGAGGAGGAGGAACACCGGUGGCGAAGGC
RNAcentral lists this ribosomal RNA (368 nucleotides) under uncultured bacterium. Its description in RNAcentral is "partial 16S ribosomal RNA". It matches the Rfam family "Bacterial small subunit ribosomal RNA", at positions 338 to 722 of the family's 1533-position model. The record is from RNAcentral.